AGAGUUUGAUCAUGGCUCAGGACGAACGCUGGCGGCGUGCCUAAUACAUGCAAGUAGAACGCUGAAGAGAGGAGCUUGCUCUUCUUGGAUGAGUUGCGAACGGGUGAGUAACGCGUAGGUAACCUGCCUUGUAGCGGGGGAUAACUAUUGGAAACGAUAGCUAAUACCCCAUAACAAUGGAUGACACAUGUCAUUUAUUUGAAAGGGGCAAUUGUUCCACUACAAGAUGGACCUGCGAUGUAUUAGCUAGUAGGUGGGGUAAUGGCUCACCUAGGCGACGAUACAUAGCCGACCUGAGAGGGUGAUCGGCCACACUGGGACUGAGACACGGCCCAGACUCCUACGGGAGGCAGCAGUAGGGAAUCUUCGGCAAUGGGGGCAACCCUGACCGAGCAACGCCGCGUGAGUGAAGAAGGUUUUCGGAUCGUAAAGCUCUGUUGUAAGUCAAGAACGGGUGUGAGAGUGGAAAGUUCACACUGUGACGGUAGCUUACCAGAAAGGGACGGCUAACUACGUGCCAGCAGCCGCGGUAAUACGUAGGUCCCGAGCGUUGUCCGGAUUUAUUGGGCGUAAAGCGAGCGCAGGCGGUUUGAUAAGUCUGAAGUUAAAGGCUGUGGCUCAACCAUAGUUCGCUUUGGAAACUGUCAAACUUGAGUGCAGAAGGGGAGAGUGGAAUUCCAUGUGUAGCGGUGAAAUGCGUAGAUAUAUGGAGGAACACCGGUGGCGAAAGCGGCUCUCUGGUCUGUAACUGACGCUGAGGCUCGAAAGCGUGGGGAGCGAACAGGAUUAGAUACCCUGGUAGUCCACGCCGUAAACGAUGAGUGCUAGGUGUUGGAUCCUUUCCGGGAUUCAGUGCCGCAGCUAACGCAUUAAGCACUCCGCCUGGGGAGUACGACCGCAAGGUUGAAACUCAAAGGAAUUGACGGGGGCCCGCACAAGCGGUGGAGCAUGUGGUUUAAUUCGAAGCAACGCGAAGAACCUUACCAGGUCUUGACAUCCCGAUGCUAUUUCUAGAGAUAGAAAGUUACUUCGGUACAUCGGUGACAGGUGGUGCAUGGUUGUCGUCAGCUCGUGUCGUGAGAUGUUGGGUUAAGUCCCGCAACGAGCGCAACCCCUAUUGUUAGUUGCCAUCAUUCAGUUGGGCACUCUAGCGAGACUGCCGGUAAUAAACCGGAGGAAGGUGGGGAUGACGUCAAAUCAUCAUGCCCCUUAUGACCUGGGCUACACACGUGCUACAAUGGUUGGUACAACGAGUUGCGAGUCGGUGACGGCGAGCUAAUCUCUUAAAGCCAAUCUCAGUUCGGAUUGUAGGCAGCAACUCGCCUACAUGAAGUCGGAAUCGCUAGUAAUCGCGGAUCAGCACGCCGCGGUGAAUACGUUCCCGGGCCUUGUACACACCGCCCGUCACACCACGAGAGUUUGUAACACCCGAAGUCGGUGAGGUAACCUUUUGGAGCCAGCCGCCUAAGGUGGGACAGAUGAUUGGGGUGAAGUCGUAACAAGGUA
Molecule: ribosomal RNA, 1506 nt
Filed under: metagenome
Description: bacterial SSU rRNA
Rfam family: Bacterial small subunit ribosomal RNA
Source: RNAcentral